RNAcentral lists this ribosomal RNA (1158 nucleotides) under Janibacter terrae. RNAcentral describes it as "bacterial SSU rRNA". It matches the Rfam family "Bacterial small subunit ribosomal RNA", at positions 322 to 1490 of the family's 1533-position model. Lineage: Bacteria; Bacillati; Actinomycetota; Actinomycetes; Micrococcales; Intrasporangiaceae. The record is from RNAcentral.
AGACACGGCCCAGACUCCUACGGGAGGCAGCAGUGGGGAAUAUUGCACAAUGGGCGAAAGCCUGAUGCAGCGACGCCGCGUGAGGGAUGACGGCCUUCGGGUUGUAAACCUCUUUCAGCAGGGAAGAAGCGAAAGUGACGGUACCUGCAGAAGAAGCACCGGCUAACUACGUGCCAGCAGCCGCGGUAAUACGUAGGGUGCGAGCGUUGUCCGGAAUUAUUGGGCGUAAAGAGCUUGUAGGCGGUUUGUCGCGUCUGCUGUGAAAAUCCGGGGCUCAACCCCGGACUUGCAGUGGGUACGGGCAGACUAGAGUGUGGUAGGGGAGACUGGAAUUCCUGGUGUAGCGGUGAAAUGCGCAGAUAUCAGGAGGAACACCGAUGGCGAAGGCAGGUCUCUGGGCCACUACUGACGCUGAGAAGCGAAAGCAUGGGGAGCGAACAGGAUUAGAUACCCUGGUAGUCCAUGCCGUAAACGUUGGGCGCUAGGUGUGGGACUCAUUCCACGAGUUCCGUGCCGCAGCUAACGCAUUAAGCGCCCCGCCUGGGGAGUACGGCCGCAAGGCUAAAACUCAAAGGAAUUGACGGGGGCCCGCACAAGCGGCGGAGCAUGCGGAUUAAUUCGAUGCAACGCGAAGAACCUUACCAAGGCUUGACAUAUACCGGAAACUUCCAGAGAUGGUUGCCCCCUUUGGGUCGGUAUACAGGUGGUGCAUGGUUGUCGUCAGCUCGUGUCGUGAGAUGUUGGGUUAAGUCCCGCAACGAGCGCAACCCUCGUUCUAUGUUGCCAGCACGUUAUGGUGGGGACUCAUGGAAGACUGCCGGGGUCAACUCGGAGGAAGGUGGGGAUGACGUCAAAUCAUCAUGCCCCUUAUGUCUUGGGCUUCACGCAUGCUACAAUGGCCGGUACAAAGGGCUGCGAUGCCGUAAGGUGGAGCGAAUCCCAUAAAACCGGUCUCAGUUCGGAUUGGGGUCUGCAACUCGACCCCAUGAAGUCGGAGUCGCUAGUAAUCGCAGAUCAGCAACGCUGCGGUGAAUACGUUCCCGGGCCUUGUACACACCGCCCGUCAAGUCACGAAAGUCGGUAACACCCGAAGCCGGUGGCCCAACCCUUGUGGGGGGAGCCGUCGAAGGUGGGACUGGCGAUUGGGACUAAGUCGUA